UUUUACUCCUUACGGGAGGCAGCAGUGGGGAAUAUUGCACAAUGGGCGAAAGCCUGAUGCAGCGACGCCGCGUGAGGGAUGACGGCCUUCGGGUUGUAAACCUCUUUCAGUAGGGAAGAAGCCCUCUUUGGGGGUGACGGUACUUGCAGAAGAAGCGCCGGCUAACUACGUGCCAGCAGCCGCGGUAAUACGUAGGGCGCAAGCGUUAUCCGGAAUUAUUGGGCGUAAAGAGCUCGUAGGCGGUUUGUCGCGUCUGCUGUGAAAGACCGGGGCUCAACUCCGGUUCUGCAGUGGGUACGGGCAGACUAGAGUGCAGUAGGGGAGACUGGAAUUCCUGGUGUAGCGGUGAAAUGCGCAGAUAUCAGGAGGAACACCGAUGGCGAAGGCAGGUCUCUGGGCUGUAACUGACGCUGAGGAGCGAAAGCAUGGGGAGCGAACAGGAUUAGAUACCCUGGUAGUCCAUGCCGUAAACGUUGGGCACUAGGUGUGGGGGACAUUCCACGUUUUCCGCGCCGUAGCUAACGCAUUAAGUGCCCCGCCUGGGGAGUACGGCCGCAAGGCUAAAACUCAAAGGAAUUGACGGGGGCCCGCACAAGCGGCGGAGCAUGCGGAUUAAUUCGAUGCAACGCGAAGAACCUUACCAAGGCUUGACAUGGACCGGAAAGACCCUGAAACCAGG
RNAcentral lists this ribosomal RNA (679 nucleotides) under Arthrobacter sp. RNAcentral describes it as "bacterial SSU rRNA". It matches the Rfam family "Bacterial small subunit ribosomal RNA", at positions 331 to 1010 of the family's 1533-position model. The record is from RNAcentral. Lineage: Bacteria; Bacillati; Actinomycetota; Actinomycetes; Micrococcales; Micrococcaceae.